This 425-nucleotide ribosomal RNA is filed under the name uncultured bacterium. Its description in RNAcentral is "partial 16S ribosomal RNA". It matches the Rfam family "Bacterial small subunit ribosomal RNA", at positions 354 to 796 of the family's 1533-position model. The record is from RNAcentral.
GUGGGGAAUCUUGCGCAAUGGGCGAAAGCCUGACGCAGCCAUGCCGCGUGAAUGAUGAAGGUCUUAGGAUUGUAAAAUUCUUUCACCGGGGACGAUAAUGACGGUACCCGGAGAAGAAGCUCCGGCUAACUUCGUGCCAGCAGCCGCGGUAAUACGAAGGGGGCUAGCGUUGCUCGGAAUUACUGGGCGUAAAGGGCGCGUAGGCGGACAGCUUAGUCAGAGGUGAAAGCCCAGGGCUCAACCUUGGAAUUGCCUUUGAUACUGGCUGUCUUGAGUACGGGAGAGGUGGGUGGAACUCCGAGUGUAGAGGGGAAAUUCGUAGAUAUUCGGAAGAACACCAGUGGCGAAGGCGACUCACUGGCCCGUUACUGACGCUGAGGCGCGAAAGCGUGGGGAGCAAACAGGAUUAGAAACCCGUGUAGUCC